RNAcentral lists this long non-coding RNA (859 nucleotides) under Bos mutus (wild yak). RNAcentral describes it as "lncRNA (ENSBMUG00000004188.1)". The record is from RNAcentral. Lineage: Eukaryota; Metazoa; Chordata; Mammalia; Artiodactyla; Bovidae.
CGAGCCAGCUCCCCAGCAGCCCGAGGCCACAGGGCCAUGCUCUCCAGCUGGCUGAGGUGGCUGCCCCCACCCAAGCCCGCUGACGGAAGUGCCGUCUCUCUCCUGAUAGGAGGAGGAUGACCCAGCAGAUCGGCAAGUGGCCAAGAGGAGCUCCCCACUGCCUUCUCCUCUUAGCACGAGUGACAGUGUGGUAUGCCCCCUGACCUCUCUUCCUUCCUCCUCCGGGACUAAGCCAUGACUGGACAUGACAAUAAGGAACUCGUCCUUGCCUGAACCUAUGCCACCGGAAAUGGCCUCUUCUCCCCAGACGCUGGCUCACAAACGGAGCAGCCCCCAGAGGUGAAUUUACCUGCCUUGAGCCCAGGUUCUGGGCUCUCCCACCUGACGCUUCAACCUCCAGCGGAGAAAGGAGUCUCUCUAGGGAAAAGAUCUAGGACCAACUGAGAAGUACAUUUCUAAAUCACCAGUUACUUUAAUGAGUAAGUACUUUCAGUUUUGCCAUUUUAUUUUAAGCAUUACUAUUUCACAUUUCUGACCAGCCUUUCUUAGGAUCCUCAUUUUUGGGGCACUUAAUGUAUAGGAAGGAAUCACCAGCCUAGUCCACUCCACCCCACCUCCACUUAACUGAAGAGUCCUAAAGAGACAACUGUUAUCAUUGUAAUAUUGUCUAAUAAGGGUGCAUGACUGAUAAGCCACUAAAUCUCUAAAAGCAUACAGUGCAAGGAAACAGUGAGCUGUGAACUGGAGAAAAGAGAUGACGCUUCUAUUGUCUGUGUAAUCUUUUAUGUUGUGGUUGACCACAAAGGCUUGGCAUCGGUUAUGACUCCUAGCUCUGCUUUUUAUAAAAUGGAUGACCUUG